AAAGUGGCGAUGAUGGGAAGAGUAGGGUCUAAAACCGCUUAAGAGAGCCGGGGCGGGUGAAAGCCGGUGCGGAUAAUAACACCUGAAGAUGGUCCCUGAGUUGCUGUGCCGAAUUACCGAUUAUGGAGGUAUUUAGGCGCAGACGCGAGCACGCGUUAUAGUGCAGGGCGAUUAUCAUGUCGUCUGUAAUGAGGCCGUAAGGCGAAAUAGGGUGGUACCGCGAGAGCUCUCGCCCCUGUG
RNAcentral lists this non-coding RNA (240 nucleotides) under Caldanaerobius fijiensis. RNAcentral describes it as "T-box sequence". It matches the Rfam family "T-box leader". Rfam says of the family: Uncharged tRNA acts as the effector for transcription antitermination of genes in the T-box leader family. Lineage: Bacteria; Bacillati; Bacillota; Clostridia; Thermoanaerobacterales; Thermoanaerobacteraceae. The record is from RNAcentral.